AAUAUUGGACAAUGGGGGCAACCCUGAACCAGCCAUGCCGCGUGUGUGAAGAAGGUCCUCGGAUUGUAAAGCACCUUAUGUUGGGAGAUAGGGCUUUACGUUAUUACCCUCAAGCUUUGACGUUACCAAUAGAAUAAGCACAGGCCAACUCUGUCCCACCAGCCGCGGUAAUACAGAGGGUGCAAGCGUAAAUCGGAUUUACUGGGCGUAAGGCGCGCGUAGGUGGUUCAGUAAGAUGGGUGUGAAAUCCCCGGGCUUAACCUGGGAACUGCUUUCAUACCUGCUGAGCUAGAGUACGGUAGAGGGUAGUGGAAUUUCCUGUGUAGCGGUGAAAUGCGUAGAUAUAGGAAGGAACACCAGUGGCGAAGGCGACUACCUGGACUGAUACUGACACUGAGGUGCGAAAGCGUGGGGAGCAAAC
This 421-nucleotide ribosomal RNA is filed under the name uncultured bacterium. Its description in RNAcentral is "partial 16S ribosomal RNA". It matches the Rfam family "Bacterial small subunit ribosomal RNA", at positions 360 to 773 of the family's 1533-position model. The record is from RNAcentral.